UGUAUUCCUUUUUAUUUCCAAUAACAGUGUUUUAUUUUCUUUUCUUUGGUUGAGAAAUUUCCUUGUUUAGGAUUUUUUAGGGAACUUGCUUGUUUAGGAUUGGAUGAGCAGAUUCUUUAUUUUUUUUAAUAACAGAGUACUUAAUUCUUUCCGUAUUACCAUUUGAUUAUGACAUUUGGCUUAGGUGAGAUAUGAUGCAUGAUCUUGUAUGAUAUGCACUCCUUAGUUUAAUUUAGACCGUUAAAUUACUCUAAAAAUCCAAUGGUGCAUAUUCUUUCUUUUUCCAGAGAAUCUAAUAUUUUAGACUCUUUUGGUUUUGGCAAACGUGAUGCUCCUUUUAACAUUGUUGUAUAUAUAUAAU
This 361-nucleotide long non-coding RNA is filed under the name Sorghum bicolor (sorghum). RNAcentral's name for it is "long non-coding RNA (SBIC_LNC018154)". Lineage: Eukaryota; Viridiplantae; Streptophyta; Magnoliopsida; Poales; Poaceae. The record is from RNAcentral.